Molecule: ribosomal RNA, 301 nt
Filed under: uncultured bacterium
Lineage: Bacteria
Description: partial 16S ribosomal RNA
Rfam family: Bacterial small subunit ribosomal RNA
Source: RNAcentral
CAGCAGCCGCGGGAACACGGAGGGUGCAAGCGUUAAUCGGAAUUACUGGGCGUAAAGCGCACGCAGGCGGUCUGACAAGUCAGAUGUGAAAUCCCCGGGCUUAACCUGGGAACUGCAUUUGAAACUGUCAGGCUGGAGUCUUGUAGAGGGGGGUAGAAUUCCAGGUGUAGCGGUGAAAUGCGUAGAGAUCUGGAGGAAUACCGGUGGCGAAGGCGGCCCCCUGGACAAAGACUGACGCUCAGGUGCGAAAGCGUGGGGAGCAAACAGGAUUAGAUACCCCAGUAGUCCCUGUCUCUUAUAA